CUUUGAUUCUGGCUCAGGAUGAACGCUAGCUACAGGCUUAACACAUGCAAGUCGAGGGGAAACGACAUUGGAAGCUUGCUUCCGAUGGGCGUCGACCGGCGCACGGGUGAGUAACGCGUAUCCAACCUGCCCACCACUUGGGAAUAACCUCGCGAAAGUAAGACUAAUGCCCAAUGAUAUUGAGUGCAGACAUCUAAUCUCAAUUAAAGAUUCAUCGGUGAUGGAUGGGGAUGCGUCCGAUUAGCUUGUUGGCGGGGUAACGGCCCACCAAGGCAACGAUCGGUAGGGGUUCUGAGAGGAAGGUCCCCCACAUUGGAACUGAGACACGGUCCAAACUCCUACGGGAGGCAGCAGUGAGGAAUAUUGGUCAAUGGGCGAGAGCCUGAACCAGCCAAGUAGCGUGCAGGAUGACGGCCCUAUGGGUUGUAAACUGCUUUUAUAAGGGAAUAAAGUGGGGCUCGUGAGCUCCUUUGCAUGUACCUUAUGAAUAAGGACCGGCUAAUUCCGUGCCAGCAGCCGCGGUAAUACGGAA
Molecule: ribosomal RNA, 532 nt
Filed under: uncultured organism
Description: bacterial SSU rRNA
Rfam family: Bacterial small subunit ribosomal RNA
Source: RNAcentral